CAACUGCAUGGUGGCUCACAAUCAUCUACAGUAGGAUCUAAUACCCUCUUCUGGAAUAAAGAACACACUUCUGCUCUGUUCUGGGACAUUAUUAAGAAGAUAUCGAAUAUGUACUUAGCAAUGGGGGCUGAAGCAUAGGUACAGCAUUUCUUUGGUUGAGAUGGAUGCUUACCAUCGGUUGGUGAAUCUGGUGAAUGUCUCAGGCAGACCUCCAAAACUGUUUUCCCUUGGCCUCUGACUUCUGGAUACUAUUGAAAAGUAAGCAUCUACUACUCAUCACUGCAGAACCUUUGAAGACCUUACUUUCAACAGAGCCACCUUUACCAUCACAAAUACAUUUCCUCUACAGAGAGAAUAAUGAGGUCAGGGCUGGUCCAUGAGCUCACAUCCUUAAGAUACAAAGUUCUGAGAAUUAUUCAACCCAUCUUCUCAUUUCAAAGAUGAAAAACAAAUGUGUAUUAAAGACCAAGUGUAGCAAUGCUACCCUUGGUGGUCAAGUUACCCCGUAUGUCAAGACAAUAUGGAAUUAGAAUCCUAGUUGCCAGCCUCUUAAUCCUGCAGUCUUUAAUAUACUAGUACUUCUGAGCACCCCCGCCACUCCUGAGAUAGAGGACCUUGAACUCCCAAUCUU
Molecule: non-coding RNA, 631 nt
Organism: Peromyscus maniculatus bairdii (prairie deer mouse)
Lineage: Eukaryota; Metazoa; Chordata; Mammalia; Rodentia; Cricetidae
Source: RefSeq, a predicted model, not a curated record